CCUACGGGUGGCAGCAGUGAGGAAUAUUGGUCAAUGGACGCAAGUCUGAACCAGCCAUGCCGCGUGCAGGAAGACGGCUCUAUGAUUUGUAAAUUGCUUUUUUACGAGGGUAAAUCCCGAUACGUGUAUCGGGUUGAAAGUAUCGUACGAAUAAGGAUCCGCUAACUCCGUGCAAGCAGCAGCGGUAAUACGGAGGGUUCAAGCGUUAUCCGGAUUUAUUGGGUUUAAAGGGUGCGUUGGCGGUGCGAUAAGUUAGAGGUGAAAUCCCCGGGCUGAAAUCCGGCACUGCCUCGGACACUGUGGGGCUAGAGUUGAGUUGCGGUAGGCGGAAGGUAUGGUGUAGCGGUGAAAUGCAUAGAGAUCAUACAGAAAACCGAUUGCGAAGGCAGCUUACCAAACUACGACUGACGUUGAGGCACGAAAGCGUGGGGAGCAAACAGGAUUAGAUACCCCUGUAGUC
This 460-nucleotide ribosomal RNA is filed under the name uncultured bacterium. RNAcentral describes it as "partial 16S ribosomal RNA". It matches the Rfam family "Bacterial small subunit ribosomal RNA", at positions 338 to 795 of the family's 1533-position model. The record is from RNAcentral.